CCUACGGGUGGCUGCAGUGGGGAAUUUUGGACAAUGGGCGCAAGCCUGAUCCAGCCAUGCCGCGUGAGUGAAGAAGGCCUUCGGGUUGUAAAGCUCUUUCGGCGGGGAAGAAAUUGCACUGGCUAAUACCUGGUGUAGAUGACGGUACCCGCAUAAGAAGCACCGGCUAACUACGUGCCAGCAGCCGCGGUAAUACGUAGGGUGCGACCGGGAGUCGGGAUUACUGGGCGGAAUGCGUACGUCAGAUGUGAAAUCCCCGGGCUCAACCUGGGAACUGCAUUUGAGACUGCACGGCUAGAGGAUGGCAGAGGGGGGUAGAAUUCCACGUGUAGCAGUGAAAUGCGUAGAGAUGUGGAGGAAUACCGAUGGCGAAGGCAGCCCCCUGGGCUAUUUCUGACACUCAUGCACGAAAGCGUGGGGAGCAAACAGGAUUAGAUACCCGUGUAGUC
Molecule: ribosomal RNA, 449 nt
Filed under: uncultured bacterium
Lineage: Bacteria
Description: partial 16S ribosomal RNA
Rfam family: Bacterial small subunit ribosomal RNA
Source: RNAcentral